UGACUCUGGUUUCUCUUCAUUACGCACAGCCUUUCGCGCCUUUUACUAAAGACUUCCGUGGAGAGGAACACUUACGAGUUCAACGUAUUUUUGGAGCGGCUUUGCUUCUUGCAGAGCC
This is a small nuclear RNA of Oncorhynchus mykiss (rainbow trout), 118 nucleotides long. Its record names the gene U5. It matches the Rfam family "U5 spliceosomal RNA". Rfam says of the family: U5 RNA is a component of both types of known spliceosome. The precise function of this molecule is unknown, though it is known that the 5' loop is required for splice site selection and p220 binding, and that both the 3' stem-loop and the Sm site are important for Sm protein binding and cap methylation. The record is from Ensembl. NCBI's taxonomy places the organism in Eukaryota, Metazoa, Chordata, Actinopteri, Salmoniformes, Salmonidae.